GCGUUGGCGCAACGGAAGAGGCGGCCGGGAGAGGGUGCGCCUCUGCUCUGGCUGGACUGCCGCGGAGGAGGCGGCAGAAGCGUUCGGUGCUGGGAAGCUGGCUCGGGGGGCAGCAGCGGCUGCUGCGGAUGGGAGCGGGUCGGCUUGGCGCGCCCAUGGAGCGCCACGGCAGCGCCGCCGCCACCUCCGCCUCGUCGGCUCGAGAGCCAGCGCCCGGGGGGCCGGAUGGGCGGCGGCGGGAGCCGCUGCGGCGCCAGGCGAGCAGCGCGUCGGAGACCGCCGUCGGGGCCGGGGCUGGGGCCGCGGCCGCAGCUCCCGCGGAGGGCGUGAGGCGGGACCACCCCGGCUCUUACAGCGGCCCUACCUCGGUCUCCCGCCAGCGCGUCGAAAGCCUCCGGAAGAAGCGGCCGCUUUUUCCAUGGUUUGGCUUGGAUAUUGGUGGAACCCUGGUCAAGCUGGUUUAUUUUGAGCCCAAAGACAUCACUACUGAAGAAGAGGAGGAAGAAGUGGAAAGUCUGAAAAGCAUUCGGAAGUACCUGACUUCCAAUGUGGCUUAUGGGUCCACGGGUAUUCGGGAUGUGCACCUGGAGCUGAAGGACCUGACUCUGUGUGGACGCAAAGGCAAUCUGCACUUUAUACGCUUUCCUACUCAUGACAUGCCUGCUUUUAUUCAAAUGGGCAGAGAUAAAAACUUCUCGAGUCUCCACACAGUCUUUUGUGCCACUGGAGGUGGAGCGUACAAAUUUGAGCAGGAUUUUCUCACAAUAGGUGAUCUUCAGCUUUGCAAACUUGAUGAACUAGAUUGCUUGAUAAAAGGGAUUUUAUACAUCGACUCAGUUGGAUUCAAUGGACGGUCACAGUGCUAUUACUUUGAAAACCCUGCUGAUGCUGAAAAAUGUCAGAAGUUACCGUUUGAUUUGAAAAACCCCUACCCUUUGCUUCUGGUGAACAUUGGCUCAGGGGUUAGCAUUUUAGCAGUAUAUUCCAAAGAUAAUUACAAGCGGGUCACAGGUACCAGUCUUGGAGGAGGAACUUUUUUUGGUCUCUGCUGUCUUCUUACUGGCUGUACCACUUUUGAAGAAGCUCUUGAAAUGGCAUCUCGUGGAGAUAGCACCAAAGUGGAUAAACUAGUACGAGACAUUUAUGGAGGGGACUAUGAGAGGUUUGGACUGCCAGGCUGGGCUGUGGCAUCGAGCUUUGGAAACAUGAUGAGCAAGGAGAAGCGAGAGGCUGUCAGUAAAGAGGACCUCGCCAGAGCAACUUUGAUCACCAUCACCAACAACAUUGGCUCAAUAGCAAGAAUGUGUGCCCUUAAUGAACUUCUCCUGCUUUGUCGCACUUCAUGUCCCAUCUCUCCGUCCUGCCUCGGUUGUCUGGAAAAGCUCCAGGCCUCUGCUGCUUCUCACCGCCCCGAUUCCCCAAGGAGCUGACUUGGAUCCUGCCUCCUACCAGAGGGAGCCAAGCCACCAUGGGCCCCUCAGCUCCUGUAGCCCCACUGGGUAUUUUGGAGCCGUUGGAGCACUCCUUGAGCUGUUGAAGAUCCCCUGAUUGUUACCUGGGGAGGGGUUCCUGGAACCUUCCACGAUGGGAUCUGUGGACUUUUGUUUUUUUAAGAGACUUACUCAAUUUUAUGAUUGUGUAGGACCCGAAUCAAAGCAAGAAAGGACAAGUAUAUUUUCCUAAGUCAUCAAAUAAAUCCUUAAAAAUUCAGUGUAAACUAGUAACCAGUAAGCAAGGCAUAUAUAUAUAUAUAUAAAGCAGACCACAUCCAUGGCAGUGAGGAUUUGCCAUAGAAAAGCUGCUCUUCAAUAUAGCUUUGUUAAACCUGCUUUGUAUUUUUGAAACUCAGCUUCACUCACUAGAGCCACUUCAGGGGAGAGCUGUUGUGUGCUCAGCUGACUAUGGGUUUGUGUCCUGUUGAACUUGUUGAAUGUAAGGCAAGCUACUGUGUGUUAUAAUCUAAUCAGAAUGCUGUAACAAUGGCUAUGGAGGUCGUCUGUG
Manis pentadactyla (Chinese pangolin) is the source of this 2001-nucleotide RNA transcript. It is a transcript of the gene named pantothenate kinase 2, with no coding region annotated. The transcript is spliced from 7 exons. Lineage: Eukaryota; Metazoa; Chordata; Mammalia; Pholidota; Manidae. The record is from RefSeq and is a predicted model, not a curated record.